This is a long non-coding RNA of Pseudopipra pipra, 10732 nucleotides long. RefSeq lists it as uncharacterized. The record is from RefSeq and is a predicted model, not a curated record. The transcript has 12 exons. Lineage: Eukaryota; Metazoa; Chordata; Aves; Passeriformes; Pipridae.
CUUCACUGCAAAUUAGAUCCCCUGGAAAGAAACAGAGAGCCAGAACGGAUCCGACCUCUCUGCCGUUUCUGGGAGCGAACUCGUAUUCUUCCCUGCCCUCCUCGCCUUGCCUCUGACAACUUUUCCACACUCUGGGAGCUCCUUAUCUUCACCAAUACUUGGAUUUGUGUAUGUGUAUGUUGGGAACCAUUUAUGUGGCUGAGUGACUGAAAUAAUUUGAAGUCUGUUUUUGCUAGAACCUGAUCACCACCUGUUUGAGUGAAGAAACUGAGGACUGUUUGAAACUUCCUUGGACAUUAAUAGGUUGACUGCUAUGUCGCUGAACUUAGUGCAUGGAAGGUCAGCCUUUGAAAAGCUAAAUAAGGUGAAGAGGAUGUAGAAAAUAGACCUUAUAUGGAAAACUGUGAACCCUAUGGUGGCAUCUGUAUAAAGGAUCAUUUUGUGGGAGCAAUACCAACCUACUUCCUCUGAACAUUUGAGCAGAAGGGGGAGCUUCUCAGGACUUUUUCCCUUGAAAAAAAAAAAGGAUUAACGCUGACCAAGGUCAGAGCAACUAGUCACCAAUAUUCUUCACGGGUGAGUCCGGCCUCCUGCAUCCCUGGAAAAUAUCACCUGAAACAUCGACCUACGCACCGGACUUGAACAGGGAAUUUUGCAGUGUCAGAAACAGAUUAAUGAAUCCGUGAGCAAUACAAGGACAAUCGAUGGCAAAACUUGUCUGAGACAUCUGAAGAAGUGAGGAAACAGAUCUAAGUGUGGAAGACCCCAUGGACCCCCCAGGGAAUUUAUCCCAGUACUUUGCCAGUAAGGACAUCAGCUAAUAUCCAAGCAGUCUCUUCCUUGUCCAGUUUUGGAUUGCCAUGAUGAGGAUGGAAGAUACCUCACUGCCUUCCUCUUUCUCUUGCAGGUCAUCACUUCAGUGCACCCAGGCAGCAUCAGGACAGAGAAGGAUGGCAGUGUCAGGAUGAGAGGGCUGUACCCUUGCAAGACAAAGCUUUCAACACUGAACCUUAAACCCUCUGGUUUUGCCAGGUAACAAUAAUUUUUGCACCAAUUUGCCCCAUCCUAUAUGACCAUUAAGCCAUUGUGUCAUUCUUCAUCACACCGGGGUCCCAGCCGGUCUCCGACAGUGCAGGAAAGCCAAGGAUGGAACCUGUGGGGACAGAAGGUGGGUGAGUUUGCCCCACUCCCCUCCAUAGCUGGGUGCCACCCUGCUCCCUCCUGCAGCUGCCUUUGGGUGUCUGCAGCUCCACAGACCCUCACAGCAAGACAAACUGGGAUCCCACACCACACCAACCUACCCCAGGAAACGCAGUCUUCUCCCAGGAGUUUCAGGUAUCCAGUGUUCCUCCUGCCAUGCCUUGCUGAAGGAACAAAACUGCCUGUGCUGGAGGUAAAAAUACUUGCUGAUGCUAAACCUCGAGUUGGUGAGUCUCUGCUGAGCUGCAUCAUCAUAGUCUUCUAGGAGAAAUGUUAAUUCCCUUUUAAAAUUAAGGAGAGGAAAAGCAAACAGCAACUAAAUCCAAGAACAGGUAGACAACUUAGCUCCGGGAUUUUGCACUGCAGGUAUCAGGAGGCUUUCUGCCUUGAACCAUGCUGCUUGGAAAUGCUGGGAAAUCUCAUGUUAGUCCUUAACUCAGUCUGUUGUGUGUGGUUUUCUCCUCUCCAGCAGCAGCAUGAGUUAAGGAGGAGGCAUUAGCCCUCGCUGCGAUACCCCCACUGUCAGUUCAAGUCAGACUCUUCACGUUAUUUAUAUGUUCCCUUUUGUAAGUGUAUCGAUUAUACAAGUGAGUUCUCAAGUGCUCAGGCACUCGAUAGAGCCACACAAAGGAGGAAAAUGUCCAGGUUAGCAUGGAAUUACAUGUGUGCUGAGCAUGCCAGGGGACAGGAAUAAAUAAUGACAUGUACAAUUCAAAGCUACAUCUUAAGAGCUUUCUGUUUUAUUGCAGAGUGAUUAAAAAUAAAACCUGCAUUUCAAUUUCCAAAGUCCAGAAACUAAAGUUUGCCAGAGUUAUUCUUAGCCAUGGCAGAAUUGCCAUCUUCAGGCCACUUCCGCACACACCAGGUUAUUCCACAAUAAUCCAAAAUCCAGCGCAAGCUCCUCCCUCCCCUCUGUUCGUUUUACCCUUUGCAUUAUGAAUGCUGUGGGUAAGGGCUGCCUGUUUCACAGGGGGCUUGGUAUCACAGAAAGCUGGUUGUUGAUCUCUGGAUGCCUGCAGGCCAGCAAUCUGUGCUACAAGUUACCCCUCUUAAAAAAAAAAAAAAAAUCACCAAAAAAAAAAGACAAGUGGAUAAAACUGAUACAAGCAUCUGUAACAAGCUAAUUGGACCCUUGUGGGCAACAUAGCAGAUACCAAAUUAAAACAAACAAAACAUCUCAUUGUACAACUGUACUUCCAGGACCACUAUCACAAAGAGAUCCGUCUGGAUUUUUAUUUUAGUUUUGUUUUGUUUAAAAGGACCUAAUUAUGGCCAGAGCUGGAGUAUCACAAGUCUGUUUUCAUCUAUAAAGAAAGGAUAUUUUGCCUCUGAACCUGAGAAAUUGUUAGAAGUUGGUAAUUAGUAUGACUUGUUAAUAGAGUUUGGCUGUGAUUAAGCUGUGAUUGAGUGUGAGUUUGGUUCUUGUCAAUGCGAAUGCCUGUAAGGUUGAGAGAUGUUUAAUGAGACACCUGUUGUCAGCAGCACCCGGUGGGCUUUGUUGCGCCUGAUUGGAAUUUGUACGGCGGAGCAGGAGCCGUCGGAACAGCAGCAGGAACAGCCCCGGCUGGCGGCUCAGCAGCAGCGGGAAAGGGCCUGAGCCAAAAGGAGGGUCAGACCCACCGGGGUCAGAGUAGGAUUUCAGGUGCAGAGCUGCAUCUCCUGUAUCUGCUCCCUGGCACUAUCAGCACCUCCAAACACACUGAGUGACUUCAAGUCUGCUCCAUAUGCAGGCAGACUCCUGGAAAAACCUUUCAUUUUCUUAUGGACUCAUUGACUGAGGUUUCCUGACUCAAAUCCCUCUACAAGACCCUGCAGAAAUGACAUCAAAACAUCACCAUUUUGAGGCCACAUGCUUUUCCUGCCCACUGAUGUCCUUUGAGUUUGAAUUGCAGUGUUUAGCUUUGACUGUGAGGCAAAGUUGGCAGUUUCCUGACUAACCCAAAGUGAGGUCAGAAAGAAGAAUGAAAACCAGAAAGGCGCCCCAGAAUGUCUGAGCAGAAGACAAUCACAUUUCUGUGUCAAAAAGAGGGCAAAACUAAGGAUGUGGGACUUGCAUGAAAAAUCUUGUAGACAGUUAUUUUUUUCUUCUUCCUUUCUCUCACAGUGGGACAAAUUCCACUUUUAUUUCAGUUCAUCUGUAAAACAUGAGGAGCCAGCUGAGCGUAGCGUUGGUUCAGAAUGAGGGCAGCUGACAAGGGAAAGGUAAAAGGAACUUGUAACUGCUGCCGUUUUCUCCAAGAAAUUAUUGCAAUGUGAAAAAAAAGCCCUCAAACUAACUUCCAAAGGAUAGAGGAAGGCACUAGGACAUCAUCUAACAUUCCCUGACAUAGCAGACUCCAAGGUAUAAUUAUUAAUGCAUAGGCCAUUUAAAUAUAGGCCAUCACCUCCUGUUGUCUCAGGUUUUCUUGUCAUCAUCUGGUGCUUGCUUAGGAUAGGAUGCAAAUAGGAAGGAGGCAGCUCUAAGGGUCAGGAAGCAGAGUUAAUGGGUGCAACUUGGGUGCAAGUGGAAGAGCAGGACAUGAAAGAGCACCUUGGCUAGAAAAAGGUUGGAACAAACUGCUUUAGCUCACACAUAAGAUGUCUGGGGUAUUUUGGGGGUCAGUUCUAGCUCCCAUAGUUCCUUAUAAUACUAUAGAACUAUACAAAGUUCUGUAUAGUUGGACACCACUCUUUGUUACUUCAAUUCCUAAAGAGUAAAGGCUGCAUUUCAUAGCCAACAUACUUUCCAAAUGCUCCUUCAUCUUCAAAGACUUCGGAAAUUAAUCACCAAUGCAAGCUGUAAAAAACUAUUCAUCAACAGCAUGUGUCACUUCCCAAGGAGCACAGAGAGGUACAGUGGCACAAGGCAUUGCCAGGGAACUGUCCCCACUGAUAGUGGCACUGCUCAAGUGGGGUCUGAGUCCCAUCAGUGGAAAAGACCCCUCCCCUCCAGACAGCAGCACUGAUCAGAGGGUUUGGGACUACAAGCAUGCUACAAUUUGCAAGUCUACAGCUAUUAGACAGCGAGGGAGAUUCAGAAACAGCCUAAUUAGUUGCAUUUUCUUUUCUAACCUCAGUCAAAAACCAGUCAGACUAUGCUUUAGAUUUGACAUCCUAUUAAAUGCAGAACACAGGCCAAUAGCUUUCAUUUUCCCUUGUGAUGCCACAGACUGUUGUUUUUAUAGUUUGACAGAGAGACAUAAUUAGGCCUCAAAAAGGACAAGUCUAGACUAUUAGUUCCCCACAGAGGCUCCCUGGAAAAUCAGAACCCACAAUUAUUCUCCACUUUCCCACUGAGGCAAAUUUGCAGAUAUCUGCUCUCCUGCCUCAGAUUUUCUGCUCACAACCUUUAAGCCUGGGAAUUCACUGUCCUUUCUCUUGAAGGGCACAAGGGAAGAGACAGGGAAGGAUGGUGCUGGUGCUGGAUUUUCCAAAGGGCAAAGGCAUUUUAAGGACAAUACAUGGCAUUGCUAAUGCUAUAAGUGUGAGGGCUUUUCAGUGCUUCAGGCAGAGCGGAAGAGAAAUUUAUUGCCAUAUUUCUGCCCCUUCAGAAUUGGGCUUCAGAAAAAUAGAAGUUACAGUUUUUUGCCUCAAUCACAUGUAAAAUGAACCAAACACAGAGCAGCAGCCUGAGCACGAUUCCUCUCCUGGUGUCACAGCAGCCAUUGUCAGAGCAAGGCAUUUAGUGACACUUCUCAGUGAGACCUUUGCCCGUUCUCCUCUCUGCUUCCAAGUUACCUGCAGCUUCGCUUUUUGUUUCUCAACAACCAGGAAGCAGAAUCAGUCAGUCUCUGGCUACCACAGUCUCUCCCUCACAAGCAGUUCCUUAAUCUUUCUUUGCCAAGUGGUACAUACCAGCUCUCCCUUGCUUAGUUUCCAAGUGCUUGGAUGGUUUCUGUACCUCUCCUGUUGAGCUGCAACCUUGGACACACCUGAUUCAAAGGAGCUCUCAGGCUCAAUAUGAGCAUGAAGCAUUGGUCCUUUGUUUGUGCUGCAGCAUCAUAUUUCAGAUGCAUCUCCAGUGUGUAAUCCCCAGUAAUCCUCAGUUCACAGUGUGCCUAGCCAGCAGUCCCUAAUUCUGUGUAAACCACCCUACAGCUGUCUUUUUUGUCUCAUAUGUUACUGUUUUCAAGUCAUUUCCCCAAUCUAUCAGCAUUGUAUUGAAUUCUAAUCCUAUCUUCCAAAGUGUUACUCAGCACAUUUCCUGGGAAUUCGAUGCACAAGGAACAUCAGCUCCUUGUGAAGGCCACCUGCUUCCCAUUGCUCUGUGCACGAUCUGCCCCUGUCCCAGGAAGGUGCAGUGCGGAAUAUGCUGAUGGUGCCCUUUUUCUGUGUGUGUGCUGAAGUGUUUUCCUUUCCUAUGUGUGCUAUCAAACCUACUCAAGACCAUUUUGCUCUGUGGAAUCACAGGAUCACAGACUGGUUUGGACUGGAAGGAACCUUAAAGAUCAUUUCAUUCCAACCGCCUGCCAUGAGCAGGGACACCUUCCACUAGACCAGAUCACUCCAAGCCCUGUCCAACCUGGCCUUGAACACUCCAAGGAUGGGGCAUCCACAGCUUCUCUGGGCAAACCCUAGAUGCUUGAUAUCACAGAAAUGAGCAAAAUUCUGGACAGAGCUUAUUUGCCUCUCAACAACUUCAUGAAAAUGUUUUCCAUUUCUAAUAAUGAAGGUUUAUCCCUUACUUUGGCCGAGGGUUAUCACAUCCCUACUCAGCUGCAACAGAAACCAAAGUCCUCCAGAGGUGUGCAGUUGCUAAAUGUCCCCAUUGGUGACACUGGUACCUUUUCUGGGCUGAAAGGGUCAUCCACAGUCGUGCAGAUGCCAAGUGCAGCCCAGCACCCUGUGAGCACUCAAUUAGCCCGGCCGUGUCUGCUCAGCCUCUCAAGCACUCGGUGGAAGUAAAAUGCUUACACGAUCCCUCUGCCUACAAGGCCUUGAAAUCUUUAGGGGGCCUGGCUUUGCUGCCUGGUUUUCCAUUGACAGGCUGAUAGAGACAUCACAAAUCUCUCCAAAGGCCAGUCACUAGGCUUCUUUCAACAUCAAAGGGUGUCAAUGUUCACUCUGCCUCAGAGCCUGGGGCAAUAUAAAUCACACAUGGAUAUGUGAACUGAGUGUUUGAGGUUAAAUUCUCUCUGUAUACACAAAAAUUUCACCUUGGGUAACUGAUACUAUUGUGUUGUCUCCCCAUCAACAUCAAAUGCUUUCUGUAAAUCAUAAUAGUCCAAUAGAAAACAAAGUUUUAUAGGUGAAAGGAAAACAAAAAAAGGAAGGAUGAACCAGGGUGUUGUGGGGAGAGAUUAACUCAUUUUAAAUAUACAUUGUAAUUAUCUUGAAAGAAAAAUCAUUGAACUGAUGAGGUUUUGUUGGUCUCUUUCAACACCCAUAGUAACAUUCAUGCUCCCUGGGCCUGAACUGAGCCUCCAGUCACAGGGAUGUGAACCACCUUCCCUGGAUCAUCUCUUGUGUGUUUCUUCCUAAAAGCACUUGCCCCCCAGCCAGGCUGAUGACUGCCCAUGGAGCACCUGCUCCCCACACUGCUCCUCCCUCUUCCAUCCCGCUGUCCCACAGCGUGAGCCGGGCUGCCCAGAUGCCACCUCCUGGCUCCAGCCAUCAGCUGGAAAAGACGGAAUGCCCGGGUGGUGGCUGUUGGGAGAGUCUGACUCACCCUGACUGGCACAGUUGUGGCACCUCUGUGGGGAGUCUCUGCCACCUCCAAACAGGAGACGGGACAGCUGGGGCUGUCAGUAAAUUACACUGCACAAAGAUAGCUCCGGUGCCUGCCUGGCCUCCUCCCUGGCAGGGGCUCUGGAGGCAGAGCUACAUCAGCACAUUUGCACGACGCUGCACCGCUGCCAACUGGCCCUGCCUGCUCCGAGCAGCAGCCGCAGGCACCUGAUGCUGCUGCCCAGAGAACUCGGUCCAGCAUCUUGCAGGGUAUUCAAGAGAUCAUCCUGCGGCACAGAGUGCCAAGUCCCCGGGGGUUUUGCUGUCCCCAGGAAAGAAAUGGCUGUUAAACCCAGGCUGUUUGCUACUCGAUAGACUUGCUCAGCUCCCUGCAUCUCAUCUGCACUCUCAGCAGCAGGUUACGUUCCCUGGUUCAGCAGGGCAGGGACUGAAGCAGAUGGAGCUCAGCAGCUCCUGCCUCCUCCUGCAGAGCACACACAGCUCACCCUCCACGCCGCCACUGCUGCUCCUCACACCAGAGAGGGAUUUUUCCCUUGGGCAGCCACCCAGCCAGCCUCCAGGCUUUGCACUAAGCAGAAACAGGAGCUGGGAAACUACCUGCCUUAAACGGUGUGGUUUUAAUGAGAUUUUUUAUGACCUCUGCAGUAAAUUGCCUGUGCUCAGUAUUGUGUUGGAGUAAGUAACACCCGGCAGAAAUCGUAGCGAGGCAGUAAUUGCAGAGUAGCUGCCUAAGAUCUCCCUGCCAUCAGGCAGGGGUUUUCAUUUCAUACAUUAGUCACAAUUUGCAUAUAAUCAUAGUCAUAGUUGCAUAUAAUCAGCACAUCCCUUUGAAUGGGAAGAAGGAAAAGGGGGUGAAAGCUGCCCAGCACUGGGGAAAUGCAUGGAGUCACUGUGGGUUUUAUGGAUCUCCCAUCACUCCCAGCCUGCCAGGGGCCGCAUUGCUACUCGAGUCACACACCCCUUAACACAACCUCUGGAUUAAGGCAGAGAAAAUGUGUUUGCCUGGCCAUUUCUGAAAGGUUUUAGUGAACACUGGGUGCAUUAUACAUCAGAUUUUCCAUUAUUGCCAUUGCCCAAGCUGCGACAACAGCAGAUUCUCAACCAUCCUAACAAAAAUUAUCUUUUCUUCUGGAAAGCUGUUCCUUAGAAAUAAUGACACCUCAAAGGGAUGGGGGAAGUGUCUCUGGCUCCCUUCCUUCUCCCACUAAAACAUCCUCAUGCCCCUUAGGACCAUGUUUGCUUUCUGAUUGCUGCCAUAUGCACCAAACAGUUUUCCUACCUUCAGACCUCUGAGCUUUUGGAUGUCGUAUCCUGAGUUGGUUUUGGUUCUUGAUCCCUCCUGCUGUCCUCACCAUUGCAGCUCUCACAGCAGGAGUGAGGAUGUGAGCCUGGGCUGUGUGAUGUCCUUGGGAGGUUAUCAGGACACCCUGGCAGAAGAGACAGACCCGUCAGGGACAGGCACCAUCCUGAAAGGGCAAUUGCUUCUGUGUCACUGAAACAGCCUGUGCUUCCCAAGGAGGGGACAGGCUGGUAUUAUAAGACACUAAACAGCUUGAAAAGUCAGAGCUGAUGAUCAGAAAAAUUUCUCCAUCACCUUAUGUGGUGCAGGAGAUAUUCAUCACCUCAACCCUUCAAAGCCAGCAACCACAGCUAGAGAAGAACUAUAUUCUGGCACACGUAAUCUUAGUCCUUGUUUGGCACAGUAGUGUUUGAGGCAACAUUUCAGGCUGUAACUGAGGGAACUGUGCUUCAUCAACAGCCUCCAGCUUUUCACCCAGCAAAAGAGCAUGGCUUUUCCUGGGAUUUUAAACAGCCUUAAAAGGACCAUCAUGGGAUAUUCACUCAUUUUUGUCCACUAUUGUGAAAUCAUGAUGUGAAGUUCUUUAUGUUUUGAAUAGCAUUUGUCUCUUUCUGGUUUUUAUUUUUUAAGCACAGUCUGCUCGGCUGCAGUCAGGGAAUGAUUAUCUUGCAGAAGUUGUACCUUGUCCAUUGACUCGCUGGGCCCAUCUCAUGUCUGGCUUAAAAUCUGCAUAAUGAGAAGAAAGCCAUUUUCCUUGAGAUCCAUUCAAAGCUCCUCGAGCGCCAGGUUGUUGUUUUUUAAUCACACAAAAUGGUAUAUAUUAAUGAGCUCUGAAGUUACAUAAAGAUAGAUUUAAAGCAUAAAAACACUAAUAUGCCCUGUAGCAUUCAGUGCUUUGAACACGGAAUGGCAUCUGUGUGAGAGUGUGAUUGCAGGCAGCUAUGGAAACCCGUGCCAAAAAAUGAGGCAAUGCUGAACAAGUGGUGUAAGAUUGGGAAAAAACUGGGAACGAAGAUAUUCAAUUUGCAUUAAAAGGCCUAGCUCGCUAGCAGCCCAAAUUGUGCAACUUUCUGCCUUUAAAUGCUUAUUUUCUGGUUCUGCUGCCAAUGUGGAGAUUGUCUUUUUCCUGGAAGAAAAUUUCCCUCUCCCUCCAGCCACCAACAGAAAUAAAGAGCAAGCCAGUUCCCGGGUCAGAUGUGGCUGUUCCAAAUGGGACAAGUUUCGCAACCAUGGAAAAGUGCAAGGUCUUCCCUCGUCUCUGCAUUCAUCCUGAGCAAUUUCCUUCUCAUUUCCAGAUGGUGCCAAUUAAGACUAGGAACCCCUGCCCUAACAGUUGUUAACAAAACAAGCACAAUCUGAGACUUUAAUGAGUAAAACUAGAGUCACAUCAUAUGCCCAAGAGAAGCCAAAAUGAAAAGAACGAUGGCAGUUGGAAAACACUUGGGUGGCUGCUUCUUAAAAUUGUAAAAUGCUGGAGGAUUUUUUACCAUUUUUUUAAAUUGUAAAAUGCUAGAUUAUAUUUUUAAUACUGAGGGCUGCCUUCUACUGCUCAGUUCAGUGGGAUUAUUUUGAGGCCUAAAGAUAAUCAUUUGGAUAAACCAUUCCAAUCAGCGACCAUUCCAAUCAGCAGGGCCAUACGUAAUUCAUAUUAGAAGGUAUUUUUCCAAUACAUUAUUGAGUUAAUUUUAUAAUCAGUAGAUGGUAAUUAGGAUAGCAUCCAUGCUUUCAAAAACAAAACCAGAUACUCCUGGUUAGAAGACCUCACCAUUGAGACAUCACUAAAACCACCAGCUAAAAAUAGAAGCUCCAUUAACUCAGGCUACAAACCAGAUUCACAGGUUUUAUGUCAUGGGGAGGCAAUUAACUAUUUUCACAGAUUACCUGAGGGUGUAAUGGAUGAUCUGUCACUUGAAAACCUCAACUCAAGGGUGACCACCUACCAAAAACCAUUCUCUGCCGCAGCUGUGUGCAACUUAACUCACAGAUUUCUGAAAAAAAAACUACUAUGGAUUUUUCAGCUCCUGGGUAGCAAACCUUACACUUGUCCUGUUUGUAUUAGCUACCUUUUUCUGACUCUGCACAAAUAAAUUGUGAAUUCUGGGAUUUGUGGACUGAAAAGCCAGCAUUUUGCUCAAACCAAAGUUACAAACUUGAUGGAAGAGUUUCUGACAAAAUACCCAUGUCACAAAGAGGUUCUUUUGACCAUACAGCCUGUAAAUAUACUAAGACAUGUUGGAAGUGCAGUUGAGAGGAGUUAAACCAAGCAAAUGUCAGAUAAUCUUUUCCUUUAAUAAUUUAUUUUUGUGUUGGGAAGUACUGUGGUAUUUUUACAUCUGAAAAUGCUUGGGGGUUUGAGUAUGAUCCUAUUCAAAGCCUGAGCACACACCAGCUGGUAGGAUUCUACCAAAACCCAUCCAAUGCCCAUCCCAGCAAAAAUGAAGGAAGAAAUACAAAUAUUUCAGGCUAUUCUUCUAUGCUACUUUACAAUAUUUGUUCCUUUCUUCCAUGAAACACCAGCACAGAGCAGAACAGCCUGAACAUGUCACAUCACACGAGAUGCUCCAG